AUCCGCUCCAACCUAGUUUUUCCUUGAGAUUCCGAUCUACCUCAGUUUUCAGCACUUGUGGCUCCUAAUUCUUUAGGUUCACUGUCUUGACUACUUGUUUAAUUUCUGAUCUUCCUAGCCUCGGACUAUAUACAGACUCUGUGGAUCUCUUGUUUGUAGAUCCCUACAUGUCUCUUAACUCCCAGCUUCUAGGACCCCCUGGAUCUUCCCUGCUCCUGCUGUGCCCAUAUUUGAUGUCUCCUGCCUCCUUCAGUCUUGGCUUGCAACUGUUUUUUUGUGAGCAUUCAUUACUCAUGGUCUUGGUGUGAUCUGGAUACAUGAGGAAGGUGGUAAGGGGACCAGGAAAGAAGAAAAGGAAGAAGAUAAGUGAAACACUUAAGCGUAAACUACUCUCUGAACAAGACCUGCACCAUUAGAAAGCACUCUUUCUGCAGCUGCCAAUGAGACAGUUUGUUGCGUAAUUUUUAAUGCACUGUAUACCCAGAUCUUUGUUUCUAAGGACAUCAAAACCAAAGCAAUUACAGCUAUUCUGAAACAGCACAUUCAAAGAAUAAAAGUCAUCUUCCUUGCUGUCUUCCACCCUCAAGAUUAUUUUAAGAUUCAAGACAGCUACUGGAGCUCCAGCAAUUUUAUCCCAUUCCAGGCUUGGGAAGGAAGAUGAAGAAAUUGCUUCUUUCUUUUGAAGAAAACAACUCAAAAGACAACUGCUGCUUACAUCUCACUGGCUAGAACUUGAUUACAUGACUGAAUACAACUGCAAGGGAACCUGGGAAAGAUUAUUGUCUCAGCUAUGCACAUUGUCCAGGGUUCUGUUUUUAAGGAAUAAUAAGUGGAUUGAUGAACACUGGAAGUCACCUAGCAGUCUUUAUCACAAAUGGU
Molecule: long non-coding RNA, 879 nt
Filed under: Homo sapiens (human)
Lineage: Eukaryota; Metazoa; Chordata; Mammalia; Primates; Hominidae
Description: HSALNT0182344
Source: RNAcentral